Aegilops tauschii subsp. strangulata is the source of this 3715-nucleotide non-coding RNA. The record is from RefSeq and is a predicted model, not a curated record. NCBI's taxonomy places the organism in Eukaryota, Viridiplantae, Streptophyta, Magnoliopsida, Poales, Poaceae.
GCGGGCGCCUCCCGUCCCACUCGCCUCCCCCUCCUCGUCGCCCUCCUCUCUCUCUCUCUCGCUAACCCCUCUCUCCCCCCGUGCAAGCCAGCCCCGGAUUUGGAGGAAGAGGAGAGAUGCGGGAUCUGGAGGAGGAAGAGGAGACCCGGGCGUCCCGGCGGUGGAUCGACCGAUGCCAGAUCGGGCGCAGAGGUCGCCGCCGUGGGAGGAGCAGGAAAGGGUGAGGCCUGGGCUCCACCGGCAGCGCACGCUCUUUAGGCUGGUGCUAGGCUGCAUCUUUUCCUGCCCCCGUUCUGGUGCCUCCUCCUACCCGCGUAAAUGGCGAGCAGAGGGCGUGAGUACCAGAGUUUGGAUGUGGAUGUUACUUCAGGGAGGAAGUUGGUUACAAUUUUCAUUUGUAUGAUGCAGCAGUCACAAACUAAUUUACAUAAUUUGUUGGUGUUGCGGUCUCUCCCCAUCUUAACAUUGUCUUCCGCUGCAAGGAGAGGAAAUUUGUGUAUAUCACACCUAUCAGCUACAUCCCAUGGAGAGGAAUUUUGUGUCAGGCAUUGUCAUUGGAGAAGCUUUCACAGGCAUGGCCCUUCUUUCAGUUAUAAGAUUUACAGAUAUACUGAUUCUAAAAGAUUUGAUUCACAGGUUAGUUCUAAUGGAGCGACACGUAUUGUGUUUGUGGUCUUCCAGUUUGCCUUUCUUCCAUGCAUCUGAAGGACUCAUACUUCCAUUUCCUCUUGCGAAUUCAUCCAUCCAUUCCUCUCCUUGCAGCUUUAAAUUUGUGAAAUCCAACGUAUUUAGUUAAGAGAACAUUUGCCACAUAAUUAUGCUAAUAUUCUAUGAAUAAUUGCACUUUUGUGGUUGUGCUAAUAGUAAUAGAUGACUCUUAGCGACCCUGCGCAUUCUCUAAUUUUUCGUACAUGAAAGUUUAUUAAAUGCAUGCAGUGCUUUAUCCUGAUUUGCAAGAGGAACAACAUGAAAUUCCUAUUUCACAUAAGUGAAGAAAAUCUAUAACACUGAUUGUUAUAGUUGGUGGUCCGGCGAUUCCAGUUUAUUUCUCUAAUUUGAUGUAGGAAAUGGAUUGUAAAUUGCAAGUGAGUUGGGGCUUCUGAUUGGACCUUGUGGUGGUUGGAUCUGCUGACAGAUAGGGAGAAGCAUGAUAUGUUGCUACUGCUGCACCUAUUAUUUGAUUUCUCUCAAUUUGCAAGAGGAACAACAUGAAAUUCCUAUUUCACAUAAGUGAAGAAAAUCUAUAACACUGAUUGUUAUAGUUGGUGGUCCGGUGAUUCCAGUUUAUUUCUCUAAUUUGAUGUAGGAAAUGGAUUGUAAAUUGCAAGUGAGUUGGGGCUUCUGAUUGGACCUUGUGGUGAUUGGAUCUGCUGACAGAUAGGGAGAAGCAUGAUAGGUUGCUACUGCUGCACCUAUUAUUUGAUUUCUCUCAAUGUUUCAAUCAAUUUAUCUAAAGCAUGAUUUUAAUAUGCAAUUUUAUCAGUCCGAGAUUACCUGAAUGAUUCGUGGAAAUUAGAAUGUGGGGAUCUCAAAGAAUGUUUCACAAGAAAAACAAAUAUUGGCCAUUUCCAAACUUGCUCGGUGGUCGAGGUACUAUAGAGGACAUCAGUAGAAUGAAAGCAAGAGCAACCUGACAACAUUAUUGAUAGUCAACUUCCAUUAUCAGCAGCUUCACACGUGUAUGUAUUCUUUUGUUCAUUUUCAUCUUUAUGGUAUUUUCUUACUUCCCCUUGUUGGGAUUCUUGACAGAUCAAGAAUUGUUGAUGCUGGUAUUCUUUCUUUUGGAAAUGGAAGUUGUUGUUUCUUCCCAGGUGAGCUGAGGUGAUAACUGAACUCUCUUCUUGCACUAGCAAUCCAUCUAUUUUGAUUUCAUGAUCAUGGUUCUCCCGUCAUGCUCUUAUGAUUUUAUACAUGCCAACAAGCAUCCACGCGAUUUGUUCUUUACUUCUGCACAUAUUACCAUGAUUUCCCACAAAAAUACACACGCCGCGGCAAGCCGCGGCAAUCAUGUUCUCAAGUUUUAAAGCGUAUAAGAUAAGAGCAUGUAUCUUAGUUAUUUUGGCACUGCCAUCCUUUACAUUAUAGGGUGUCUACAUAUGCAAAUUUGCAAGUUAAAUUUACCACACCUUUGAAACCUGCAGUUGUUUACUAUUCUCUUAAAUCUUUAAACUAUGUGCUCCAUUCCUUUAAUUUCAGAACUAGGAAGGUGCGGAUAAUAAGAGUUGUUGACAGAGGCAACCUGCACAUGUGUAAACAGUGGCUAUGGUGGCUCAAAGGGAAGCAGCGGCCGCUCCAUGGAAACACGCAACUUAGUGAUGUACUUUUUGUUUCUAGAUUUUGUUCACUCUCAUUAAAUUUAAACAAGAAAAUCCACUACCCUGCAAAAAGUUCUUCCAACAAAUAUUUUUGUGUGUGCAGCUAAGAUCAAUCUUCCUAUUCAUUCAUUGCACGCUGUUAUUCUGCAGGACCGGCGAAGUGCAAGGUCAUGUACAAGGGAUAAGCUGGUCAAUGAAGGAAAUUCUAAAAGAAAGCGACUACAAGCAACAUUUGAAGUGAGCUGGGAGCCGGGGUCAUCCUUCUCACCACCAGUCGAACAUACUACUUCAGCCACCAUGUUGAGCGAUAUAAAAGUGUUCAGCAACAACACGAGAUUGUGCCCCCUCUUGCUCCAGGUGCAUGUUGCUGUAAUUAGUAUCAACAGAUUAAAUCAUGAACCAUGUCUCUGUUUCAUACCACCUCUGUUCAUAAAUAGAUAGCUUCCUAGAGAUUGUGCAGUCCUAAGGCCAUCCACACUAUUGCCCGUUAAAGCGUAUUGAGUGCAUCAAGCCUAAUUUUCUAUUGGAUAGAUUUUGUUCUGUAAUCUAUUAGUGUUAGAACAAUACAAAUUUUCCUAUUUUGCAGAAACUAACUUAGUGCUUCCUUCUUUCGGGUUUGAAAUUCAGCAAUUCUUUUCCUUAAUCGCAAACUGAAUUGUUCGUCGUUGCUAUUUGGUUUCCCUUCUGUCUGGCAUAUUGAUGAUUUGAUCCGCAUUCAAGAAAGAAAUAUUCCAUGCAAGCCUCCAGCCUAAGUAAAGAAAUUUAUUUGCUUGCCAUUUGAAUAAAAAAUUUGAGCACGACAUUACAAAUGAGAAAAAAAAUAUUUGUAUGCAGAUCCACGACACUUUGCAAAAGAGUAUACAUCAACAUUGUCUACUAGAAAAAAAAACAAAGUAGUCUCGUUUAGUUCUUGCUUCAAAUUUGUCUCGCGCGCCAAAUGGCGCGACAGGUCAUCUAGUUGUAUAUAAAGGCUUCUCUAGUUCGGAUGAUUUCAGCAAGGGCCUCUUUGAUUCUCAUGAAUUAUAAACUAAGGAUUAGAGCAGCAUGUCUUUUCAAUACUACAUAAUUAGUUUGGACAAUUGAUUGUGCACAAGAAAAACAGAGGAUAUUCACAAGAGGUUAGAGUGGAUGAAAACUUUCCUAUGAAAACCAGUACAUAUGAAUUCUAAGGGGAAAAUAAUCCUAUGGAUAUGCAAGCAAGCAAACAUAAAACAAAAGAUAAACAACAUGCUUCUAAAUUGAAAGAUGCUAUGUACAACCGUGUCGAAAAUGAAUUUCCUGAACUAGACAAACUUGCUCCAAAAAGAAUUAACUAAACAAACACCAAAUAUAAGAAUCAAUCGCCGUCGCCAACGCCAAGCCAUUCCCGGAAUCCAGCGAGGAUUGCAAUCUUCCACAUG